AGCAGGUGGAGAGUGAGGCUCUGAGGCUGUCAGACGGUGAGACGGUGAGGCUGAUCAGAGCCUGGAGCAGGACAAACAAACAAUUAAGACAAUGGUUUAUGCAAAGGCUGUUUGGCUUGAGGGUGACAAACAGUUUGAAGGUGUCAUCCCAAAAAACUGGAUACAGGAAGAAAAAAAUGUUGUUCGAUGGCCAAAGAAAAGUGUGCAUUCAGCCCAUAAAAAAAAGAUGGACCCAGAGGUUGACUGGAAAACGUUCCCACUGGUGAAAAUAAAGACAAUAUCAGACAAUGAGAAAGAUUGUGAAGAUUAUAACUACACUUCAUCAGCCCAAACUGACCAUGAAGGUUCCACCAUUGUGCCAGAAGAAAACAGGAAGCGACACGUUAAGAAGAGGACAUAUGAUGAUUUUGUUGAUGGUAAGUGUAUAAAUGUUCUCUAUUUAAAUAUGUUAUAUAUUGUUUCACU
Molecule: long non-coding RNA, 465 nt
Organism: Melanotaenia boesemani (Boeseman's rainbowfish)
Lineage: Eukaryota; Metazoa; Chordata; Actinopteri; Atheriniformes; Melanotaeniidae
Exons: 3
Source: RefSeq, a predicted model, not a curated record